Lates calcarifer (barramundi perch) is the source of this 332-nucleotide long non-coding RNA. RefSeq lists it as uncharacterized. The record is from RefSeq and is a predicted model, not a curated record. NCBI's taxonomy places the organism in Eukaryota, Metazoa, Chordata, Actinopteri, Centropomidae. The transcript is spliced from 3 exons.
AGAAAAGACAAAUAUUCACAGACAUGAACAGACUGAACUCUCUGUUCAACAGAGAGAAAGUUUCUCUGACAGGAGGAGACUCUGCUACACUGAACACAGAGACAAUGAGGAACCAGACCGCCAGAACCCAAACCCAGGAUACAGAGGUUCAGUGAAUGUGGUGUUGAAGGUGUGGAGGUGGAUCAGAGAGUCAGAGGAGACUCUGUAGAAGGACAGAGAGCCAGCAGGACAGUCCACAUACACUGCUACUCUGUUAGAGACAGAGGAGGAGGAAGAGGAGGAGGAGGAGGAGGAGAUAUUUGUUCUUUUGUUAUUGUGACAGAAACAGUAAC